This 497-nucleotide ribosomal RNA is filed under the name uncultured bacterium. RNAcentral describes it as "partial 16S ribosomal RNA". It matches the Rfam family "Bacterial small subunit ribosomal RNA", at positions 28 to 507 of the family's 1533-position model. The record is from RNAcentral.
GAUGAACGCUGGCGGCGUGCCUAAUACAUGCAAGUCGAGCGAACAGACGAGGAGCUUGCUCCUCUGACGUUAGCGGCGGACGGGUGAGUAACACGUGGAUAACCUACCUAUAAGACUGGGAUAACUUCGGGAAACCGGAGCUAAUACCGGAUAAUAUAUUGAACCGCAUGGUUCAAUAGUGAAAGACGGUUUUGCUGUCACUUAUAGAUGGAUCCGCGCCGCAUUAGCUAGUUGGUAAGGUAACGGCUUACCAAGGCAACGAUGCGUAGCCGACCUGAGAGGGUGGUCGGCCACACGGGAACUGAGACAGGGUCCAGACUCCUACGGGAGGCAGCAGUAGGGAAUCUUCCGCAAUGGGCGAAAGCCUGACGGAGCAACGCCGCGUGAGUGAUGAAGGUCUUCGGAUCGUAAAACUCUGUUAUUAGGGAAGAACAAAUGUGUAAGUAACUAUGCACGUCUUGACGGUACCUAAUCAGAAAGCCACGGCUAACUACGUG